GGAAUAUUGGACAAUGGGGGCAACCCUGAUCCAGCCAUGCCGCGUGUGUGAAGAAGGCUUUCGGGUUGUAAAGCACUUUCAGUGAGGAGGAAAACUCUACGGUUAAUACCCGUCGGUCUUGACGUUACCCACCGGAGAAGCACCGGCUAACUCCGUGCCAGCAGCCGCGGUAAUACGGAGGGUGCAAGCGUUAAUCGGAAUUACUGGGCGUAAAGCGCGCGUAGGGGGUUUGAUAAGCGAGAUGUGAAAGCCCCGGGCUCAACCUGGGAACGGCAUUUCGAACUGUCAGGCUAGAGUAUGGUAGAGGAGUGUGGAAUUUCCUGUGUAGCGGUGAAAUGCGUAGAUAUAGGAAGGAACACCAGUGGCGAAGGCGGCACUCUGGACCAAUACUGACACUGAGGUGCGAAAGCGUGGGGAGCA
Molecule: ribosomal RNA, 420 nt
Filed under: uncultured bacterium
Lineage: Bacteria
Description: bacterial SSU rRNA
Rfam family: Bacterial small subunit ribosomal RNA
Source: RNAcentral